CUGAAGGACUGUCAAGUCGCCAUUCAUGUGCUGUUUUUAGUUGGUGUGUGCACCAUCAUUUUUUGUGAGAUCACACAGAAUUUUGGUAGGUAUAAGGAUGUAUACGCUUUGAAUUUAUAUAUUUGUAUCAGGGUUGAUUAAUUAAUAGCGUACCGCACGUAACAAGUCACAUUUGCUCAUUAUUACUCAUGACAUUAGUAACUGUUGCUAAGGGGGUCAAACUCGCAUUUGUCCUUUAUGCAAGAUGUACAGUGCCCUCCAUAAUUAUUGGCACCCCUGAAAAAGAUGUGUUUUUUUAGUUUUUUAAUAAUUUUUUUAAAAUUCAAAUAAUAUGGGACCUUAAUGGAAAAAAUGAGAAAAAUCCAACCUUCCAUACAAGUGCAUUCAUUCAGUGGGGAAAAAAUCCCACAUAAAGAAAAAAAUAUUUGACAUCAAAUAAUGUGUGUCACAAUUAUUAGCACCCCUGGUGUUAAUACUUUGUACAACCCCCUUUUGCCAACAAAACAAGGUCUGGGGACUGAGAUGGCCAUGGGAGGAGCUUGAUUUUGUGUCUGGUGAACCAUUUCUGAGUAGAUUUGGCCAUAUGUAUAGGGUCAUUGUCUUCCUGAAAGACCCAGUGACGACCCAUCUUCCGCUUUCGGGCAGAGAGCAACAGAUUUUGAUUUAAAAUGUCCUGGUAUUUCAAACCAUUCAUGAUGCCAUGCACCCUAACAAGGUUCCCAGGGCCUUUGGAAGCGAAACAGCCCCACAGUAUCACUGACGCACCCCCAUACUUCACAGUGGGUCUGAGGUGCCUUUCAGCAUGCGCAUCUUUCGUGGCACGCCAGACCCACUUAGAGUGUUUGUUGCCAAAAAGCUCAAUCUUGGUCUCACACAAAAAUACACACAGUCCUAGGCUUCAACUGGAACCGUGUGCUUUGGUCAGAUGAGACCAGGUAAAGAACCACAGGGUAAAAGGUAAAGCUGUUAAAUCUGGAGCCUACCUGUAGGCAUGAACAGGCUUACUACAAAAAGACCAAGGCCAAACAUGGCUAAUUUAUUUAAAUAUCCGUAUUUUAGAAAAAAUAGGCCUACAUGACUGUUGUGACAUAAAAAUAUAUAUAUAUUUUUUCCCGGUCAUUCAUUUUCAGACAGGAGCAGCACGGCAAAACACCACGCUAAAAAAUAAGUAAAAAUAUCAAAAUGGCUUACCUCUUUGGGGCACGCUGUGGUAGGCAAUGGAUCAGCCCCAACAAAAUGUUUACUGUAUAUGAAGGUGAAUGGCUUCACCUUGCUGGCAUUAAACUGGUCUUUUGGAAGUCCGCACAAGUUGAUCCAAUGUUCACGUUUUUUCCCUCUGAGUUUUUGGCUUUGGGAAACGUAUGAAGAAAACAUCCUUCAUAUGUGGACGGUCGUAAUGACUACAAUCGAUUUUACAAGUACAAUAGCGGCAGUGUUUACUCGGCAUGUUCUUUUUUGAAAGAUUACCGGUAGACAACAAGCAGUACAAGCUAGGGAUGUCCCGAUCCAGGUUUUUGCACUUCCGAUCCGAUACCGAUAUUGUUUUGCACUUCCGAUCCGCUACCGAUAAUGGCCGAUACCGAUACCGGCCUAUCUGAGCAUGUAUUAAAGUUAUUUAGCCUCCUUACUUAGUUGUCAGACUCAUGUUGAUAAGGGUUUUAGUACUCUUGAUAACAACUAGCCAGCUGAAUUAGGUGAGUUUGAGUAACACACAAUGGUUGGUAACAAGAAACUGACCUGUUUAUUCAGUGACAAACACAAAAGAUUAUAAAUAACAAACAGAAAUGGCAUAGUCAGUCAGUAAAACGUGCAAAUAAUAUUGUAAACUGUCAGUGGAAAAUCCCACAAAUCCCCCAAGCUAUUAGAUGCUUUUAAUGUUUCGUGCAUUAGUUACAAAAAAUGUAUAAAAAGCCUCUCAGGUUUAAAUAAACGACUAUUUCAGUUUCAAGUUAACAUUUUAAAACAGUAAAUAAACUACUCAAGUCCUCAUUCUGUCUCAGCAGCUUUAAACUACAUUCAAUUAAUUUAAUUUUCCGAAUCAACUGUUAAAGUUGUUAAAAUUGCUCCCGUUAUUCCAUAAUUUCCCUUCUGUCUACUUUUGACAUGUGAAAGUUUUAAAACUGUUUUGAAGAUAGAUUCAAGUCAAGAUUUUGCCGAUUUAGGAGUAUUUUAGAUAAAAAGUUAAUUAGGUUCGCUUGGAAGGUUCAAUACAACAGCCUACAAGGGAAGUCUCCUGCUUUAAGAUGGCGGCUGUUUACUAACGCCGGCAAGUUUUCAAUGCAUGUGUUGCUAACGCUAUCGAGUCUGUCAUUGUGCAUCCAGUUCUACAUACAUAUAUCUUUUAGACAAUCAUGAUGUUUACUCUCGGGACACAAUGCAGUCCGUUUCUCAUUGCGUCCCGAAGACCCCGCUGUGUAUUAGUUCCGCUUUACUUGACAUAUUUCAAUAAUCGGAAUUUGGAUGUUUGUGAAUCGUUCUCGAAUCUUCCACGGCAGAAUCGCUCAAGGAUGUAAUGACGUCUGGGCAUGUUGUACCGUGGUUCUAAUGCUGCGUUCCAGAAAAGUGGGAUGUCGGACUUUUCCGACCUCCGACUAGGAAAAUAUCAUUGGAACACCACUCGAACUGGGACGUCCAAGUCGCGAAGUCGGAGAAAAAAUAACUACCCCGACUUCCAAGUUGUUUCAAUCUGACGUCACUGGACAAAAUGGCGCUCAAGAAAACGAAUGAUAACACAAUAAUGAAGUAAAUCAAGUUUAUUUGAGACGCCAUGUAUUUUUUUUUCCUCAUACAGUGAAUUAUCUUUGUUGUGCUAUGUUUUUAUAUUGACGAUCAGCAAAGGAAUUGUAACUAAAAAAAAGGCAGUUUACAGUGUGGGCUGUAACGCAGCCGUCGUUUUUCCUCUACUAUUUGAUCGCUUAUAGGAAGGCAGGUUCACUGGAGGUCAAAAUGUCUUUGGAUGGCCAAAAUAAAAAACACCUCGUCGCGAUCAGCCAUCUUUGUUGUUUACAUUUGCUUGGAACGCUUUGAGGUCGGAACUGGUACCAUCCGAGUGGGAUAAAUCCGACUUCCCACUUCUCUGGAAUGCAGCAUAAUGUGUUGGAUGGUGCGUCUAUACUCACGAGAGAUAAUGCCUCGUCAUCCAGAAUGAAUUCUUAAUUCUUCUUCUUGCAAUGAAUUCUUGCAAUGACUCUUGUUAUUCCCUGGGCUUUGGGACUGUCGAGUGCCAGUUUGUCACGCAUAGCAAAAGUUUCUGCCAGUGUUAGUUGCGUAGGACCUUUCUUUUUGUCUUCGGUUUUCAUAACAUACUCCUUAUAUUGUUUGUGGUGGUAUGUCGCUAAAUGCUUGAUUAGGUUGGUUGUAUUAAAACUUCUUACAGCUUUACCACCACGCUUGACUUUGUGGCAUAUGUUGCACUCUGCCUCUUCGUCUUUGUCGUCCUUUAAGGUGAAAUGAUCCCACACAGCUGACAUUUUUACCGACAAAGUCUCUCGGUAAAUUGGGAGACGGUAACGUAGUGUGUUGAAGGUGUGCCGUAAAAUGCGGACCGGAUUUUAGGGAAACCAAAGCAAAAACUGGAAUGGAUUAUGUAUAUCGGUGCGCUGGAAAACCCGGACCGGAUUUUCAAAAAACUGGAUCGGAAUUUUUCCGUGUCGGUCGAUCCGAUACCGAUGCACAUUUUUUUGCCCAUAUCGGCGUCCGAUCCAAUCCAAAUAUCUGAUCGGGACAUCUCUAGUACAAGCAUGGGUUGUAUGCGAGCGCGCUUCUAUGUUGGCCCUCUUCCAGUUUAUGAUGAUGACGUCAUGCAGCUUUGCAGUCUAGAAAUAGCAUUUGUGCGGUACGCUUUUACAGACUUAUGUUUGCCUGUUUAUUAAGAGUUAGCCAAUGGAGGGUACGCAUGCACUUCAUCGCAGCCUUCAGCCUGUAUAGCAAACUAGUUCUUGUCCCGGGAAAAAAACAAACACUACAUACUUAACAAAUCAAUGGUUAUAUGUCAAUUUAUAAAGUAAAUAGCCCAAAAAACUGUAACAACUCAAAUCCUGAUAAGCCUUAUCACUCCACGGAAAGAUGGUGACAUGACUGUUUACAAACUGGACAGCUGGAUAGCUUUAACAUGAGAAUGAACAAGGCCACAUGCUACAUCUCUAAAAUGUCUUGCAAAACUUGACAUAACAAAAACAGCAACACAAUCAUCAGAUUAAAAAAAAAAAAAAAAAAAACAUUUUUACUUGCUCAAACAGAAAAGCAAAUGGUGUCAAAUUAUGUAGUAAAUUAAAGUAAGUGAGGUAAAAACGGUCUUAUUUGUUGUAUAAUUUUUCAUCAAAUAAUUAAAAAUGUGUUAUAUCAUUGAAUUUUGAUAUCGUGAUAUAAAAUGGCCCAUUUCAGGAUAGGUUUAUUUUUUCAUGUUGUACAGUGCUACUUCAAACUAAUGAACUAAACUUCUUACUGCCUUACGUACCAACCUGCAAGAUAAAAAAGAUAAUGUUUCCCAUCAACUCUUGUCAAACAAAUACUGAAUUGUAUUCUGUGGUGAGUCCACAUCAUAAUUCCUCUAUGUGAAAGAUCACAUGAUGCGUCUGCUGCUGAAUCAAUGUGAACACCUCUUUGUGGUCGCAACUCUCCUGUGUUUGCUCAUAGGGAUUGCUCACAUUCCUGAUAUGCUAACUUGACCAACGUGCCCCAAAGGAGUCACUCACCUCGUUGACCCGUGCCCACUUUAAAAUAUGCACAUUGAGUAUCCGUAACAUUAGAUCUGGCAUUUGUCUCUUUGAUUUUUACACUGAAAAAUAUUACCAGUGCCAUUGCCGUGUGUGGGUUCAACCACCCCUGAAAUUGAUUAUUCUAACAUUUUGCACCUUGUUAUGGAGAAGACUAUCAUCAUUAACGCAAUUAAAAUAUCAUGCCACGCACUGAUGUAUGAAAAAUUCUUGGACACUCACCAUUGCUUUUAAAACAACAGACUGUUAGUGUUAACCAGUGUUGUUAAUAACGGUGUUACAAUAUUACAGCGUUGCUAACGGCGUUAUAUUUUUCAGUAGUGAGUAAUCUAAUUAAUUACUUUUUGCAUCUUGGCAACGCCGUUACCGUUACUGAGGAUGGAAAGACGUGCGUUACCAUGCGUUACUAUAUUGGUUGAAUGACGCGAGAAAAGGCUGAGGGAGACGGACUCACCGAGACGACAGAGCAGAGCAGGAGUGGGGAGGAGGCGAAAAAGUUGUGAUGCUGAGCAAACACGAUGCUAAGUGGCUCCGAUAAUACUGUACCUGACUAUAGCCGAUAGCCUACAAACUACGCCCACUUGAUAUGGUAGAUGUGGUAGAUAUCACAUAUAUAUAGAACUAGAUGCGACAUGACAGACACGGCGGCGUUAGCAACAUGUACAGUAUAGGAACUAGAUGGGUUAGUAAAAGCGUAAGUUCAGAAUUUUUGACAUCAGGCUUAAUCUUCGAUUUAAGGGGGGGUUAAUUAGUCAGUGGAGAUGAUUGAAAAAAUUCCGUAUCGUUUGUUAGUCUUUUAUUAUUUUCAGGGUUCCUCAGUUAUUAUGCUAAUGAAAGUCAAUAUGGCCAAUUAGCAUGCUAAUAAACACCGAUAUUCACAGCUCUAACAUAGUCAAAUAAAUUCAAAACGCAGCUCAAUGUUCAAAAACCCGCUGCAUGUCUCACCAAACUGUCGUAAUUCAUUUAAUUCAGCAGGACUAUUUUUCCAUAUGCGUAAUGGCACCACAAUAGAGGGUAGUGCUAUGGCCACUCGUCUUCACUUCAGUCUGCUAUGCAGCGUGUUCACGGAAGGACGUCAACAUGGUGAAAUGUGCUUUUAGAAGCUGUGGAAACAUACAGAAGAAAUGGACAAAGGAAAGUUUCCACCGCUUGCCUGUGAAGAACGAGGAACUAUAUAAAAACUGGUUACUCUGCUGGAUAUGACAUACACACACACCGGUGGAAAAAGUACUGCUUUGGAGUAUUUGCGGCGCGCAUUUUCAUCGGUAUCCUCUCCUGCAACCAAAUGCUGUGCCUUCGACUGUCCAAACGUCUUCAAGAGCUUCUGAUAAACAGGUGACCUGUUGAUCCUGAAGGUAUACCCAGAAAGAGGCUCCACUUUGUUUUCAACUCCAUGAAGGCAAGGACGCCAGCAAGCGAGGAAUGCUGGUGGGACUUUGAGAUACAGCUUGGAGUUUCCAAAGCAAACGAAAAAGAUGGGUUGCCUGGAGGAGUUACGAGCCAACAACGCAGACAUUCUGACAGAAUUUGGUGGCGCAUGUCCUGGAAAGACUGCAGGAUUCAUCAGUGAAGUUUGCUGAUCCAGACUUUUAUUUCAAGCCUCGAACUUCAAUUCUCCAAACCAUUGCAGGCAUCAAAAGGCCUGAUAAAGAAAGUCAUUUUACAUGUCAGUAGAUUUAAAAAAUAAGUAGGCUGACAUUUUCCUUUUUUUUAAUAGAUACAAUGGGGAGA
This is a long non-coding RNA of Corythoichthys intestinalis (scribbled pipefish), 6446 nucleotides long. RefSeq lists it as uncharacterized. The transcript is spliced from 3 exons. Lineage: Eukaryota; Metazoa; Chordata; Actinopteri; Syngnathiformes; Syngnathidae. The record is from RefSeq and is a predicted model, not a curated record.